UAUGGGCAUACCACAAUGAACGCUCCCAAUCUCAUCUGAUCUCAGAAGCUAAGCAGGGUUGGGGCUGGUUAGUAAUUGGAUAGGAAAAAGGUCUUCAGUAUCUGAAAUAA
Molecule: ribosomal RNA, 110 nt
Filed under: Jaculus jaculus (lesser Egyptian jerboa)
Lineage: Eukaryota; Metazoa; Chordata; Mammalia; Rodentia; Dipodidae
Source: RNAcentral